AGUGAACGCUGGCGGUAGGCCUAACACAUGCAAGUCGAACGGCAGCACAGUAAGAGCUUGCUCUUACGGGUGGCGAGUGGCGGACGGGUGAGGAAUACAUCGGAAUCUACUUUUUCGUGGGGAUAACGUAGGGAAACUUACGCCUAUACCCCAAAAGACCUAACGGUGAAAGCCAGGGAUUUUCGGACCUUUCGCGAUUGAAUGAGCCGAUGUCGGAUUAGCUAGUUGGCGGGGUAAAGGCCCACCAAGGCGACGAUCCGUAGCUGGUCUGAGAGGAUGAUCAGCCACACUGGAACUGAGACACGGUCCAGACUCCUACGGGAGGCAGCAGUGGGGAAUAUUGGACAAUGGGCGCAAGCCUGAUCCAGCCAUACCGCGUGGGUGAAGAAGGCCUUCGGGUUGUAAAGCCCUUUUGUUGGGAAAGAAAAGCAGCAGGUUAAUACCCCGCUGUUCUGACGGUACCCAAAGAAUAAGCACCGGCUAACUUCGUG
RNAcentral lists this ribosomal RNA (491 nucleotides) under uncultured bacterium. RNAcentral describes it as "partial 16S ribosomal RNA". It matches the Rfam family "Bacterial small subunit ribosomal RNA", at positions 29 to 507 of the family's 1533-position model. The record is from RNAcentral.